This 23576-nucleotide long non-coding RNA is filed under the name Sorghum bicolor (sorghum). RNAcentral's name for it is "long non-coding RNA (SBIC_LNC014555)". The stretch from base 3353 to 3459 matches the Rfam family "Plant small nucleolar RNA R71". The record is from RNAcentral. Lineage: Eukaryota; Viridiplantae; Streptophyta; Magnoliopsida; Poales; Poaceae.
UGGUGGUCAUAGAAGGUGAUUAGUGACCCACCUUCUGUGACGACAGUCACUUCGUCACUACAGGCAGGUAGUGACAGGAAACAGGCUGUAUUCGUCAUAAUCUAGUUGUCAUAGAAGCCUAGAAUUCUUGUAGUGAGGAGUAGAAUACUUUUGGGUGGUUCUGGAGAUGGAAAUUAGUGGAUAUAUGUGGAUGCGUACUUCCAGAGUAGAAGCAGCAUGUGUGAUUGAACGUGCAAGUGAAUCUUGAUUUAACCACAUGACAAGCUCCUAAGGGUCUACACAGCUUGACCACACUCAAUGCUCAUAAGCAGUAAAAAGUAAAUGUGUAGCUCAAGGUCUAGCAAGCAUAUAUAUAUGGCUGUGGUAGGAAUUUAAACUCUCAUCAUACAGAAACUCAUCAUAUGAUAUUUAAAAGUUUUUCGAAGAUAAAAUUCUCCAAAAUUCUAGCAUCUCAAGGAACAGAUAAACAGCAGCUCAACUUUCUCAUAUCAUAUCGUUAACAACUUAGACUUCAGAUCAAGUUCUCUUCCCACCAGUUCAGGUUUAGGGCAAGCUUUAAAUUAUAACAGUUAUGUCUAAACUUGAGAGCAAACUUCAAAUUCGAAAAUUUAGGCAGAGCAACUAUUCAUUAUAUCCAUGCUAGAGUUCUAUUAAGACUCAGUUUAGCAUAGCCACUUUAUUUAUUUAUUAAGCAAACUAAGCAAAGAUAUAUAUAUAAGCACAAAAUCUUUAUUUGGUUUUUUUAUGAUUAUGUAUAUUUUUAUUUUAGUAUAGUAUAAGUAUAAAUGUAGAUAGAAAUACUUAGCGGGAUAAAUGGAGGUGCUCUCCCCAAGCUGAAUUUUGACGUAAUUUCUUUUAAUGUAGCUAGCAGGUGGCAGAGGUGUAUUUGAAUGUCGGCAGCACCCUGACAGUGAUUAGAGUGUCCUCUGUCUGCUAGUCUUCUUGAUCCUUGAAUUCUAUGGAGCUCAAAUAGACAACAACGCUUUGUGGAACUGAUUAGGUGUUACCAUAAAUAUCUAGCUUUUAUCAUGUUGAGCUCCCUCAAUAAAUGCUACUUUCUUUGGUAGGAUCACAAUUUUAUUUUUAUAUUUUUAUUUUUAUAGAGCAGAACAAUAUUUUUAUUAUUUUUUGUGCCACCACAGUGAAUGUACUUAUGGGUUUUAUGCCACUUGUAUACUCACAUGGGGCUUACUGGUUUUAACAUUUUUUAUUUUCUUUCUAGGAUAGUAUGAACAUAAUUAACUAAGCAAACUAUUUUAAAUAAUUGAAAGGAAAAGGAUAACUACGAAGUUUACCUCUUGGCAAGGCGUUCGGUGUUUUUAAGUCCUCCGUACGGGACUCUUUGUUUUCUCAGUCGUCCUGGGAUUCGCUGGAUGGCGUAGUCGGUGGUUCCGGCGGCGCCUCCUAUUCGUGUACAACUACCUUCUCUCUCCACUCCUGACUCGGUGCUACGGUCUCCUUAGGACAAUUCUGUUCAAGCUGUAUGUCUUUAGACCUUACCACUUUUCCUUCGUAGUCUGCCCAUCCAUCCUUGAUGAUUUGCCUCCUCUGGUUGCGGUUGCGCCGUCUUCUUCUUAUCCUGACCUGCUUAGAGUCUUCAACUAUAUAGUUAGGGUUAGUAAAAUAGCGGUGUACCUUCUGAGAGGGAAAGUGCAUGUGGACUUCUCUGGUUCUAAUGUAGAUGAUUGCUUUAACGGUUCUGAGGAACGGUCUCCCAAGGAUGAUGGGUCGAUCGUACUCGUCUUCUCCUAUGUCAAUAACCUGAAAGUCUCUAUGGACAAAAUGAUCAUCUUUUUUGACAGGGACAUCAGUUACUAUACCUUCAACCUUUCGAAAUGUCUGAUCUACCAUCUGGAGCUGAAUGUAUGUCAGUUUUAGGGGCAUGGUUCCGAACAAAAGCCGAUAGGUGACUGCGGCCAUUAUGUUGACACCCGAUCCGGUGUCGCAAAGUGUCUUGUAGAAGUUGAAUCCAUUAAUGGAGCACUAGAUACUUGGUAUACCUGGGUCGUCCUUCUUUGGCAGGAACGGUGACUUAAGUCGAUGAUCUUGACCUCCGUGAACUAGAGUGACCAUCUUAGCUGACACGGUCCACACUUUCUUAUUCCUGUUCCUCCUGUUGGUCCUCUUCCAUGGUUCUUGUCGGGAUUGCUCUAGGAUUUGUGUAGUCUUGUUCUUGAAGGAAAACAUCUCCUUCCUUCCUUCGAUGUAGAAACUGACCUUGGCAGGACUAGCGUAGAUGACAGCUCCCGAGGUGUUCACAAAUGGCCUCCCUAGGAUGACGGGUGCCCUCUCAUCAUUACUGGUCUCUAUCCCCACGAAGUCUGCUAGGGCGUACAAGGUACCAACUCGGACACAGAGGUUCUUCAAUAUUCCCUUGGGGAAACUUAGCGUCCGAUCUGCAAGCUGCAAACACAUGGUUGUUUCUAGUAAGGGAUAUGUAAAGAAUUGUUCAUAGAGUACCCUAGGCAUAAUGUUGACGCUGGAGCCAAAGUCGCAGAGUGCUUCUGGGAAGUCCACCAUGCCGAUGGAGAUCGGGAUGAUGGGGCGUCCAGAGCCUCUCUUGACCGGCAGAAGGCCAGUAGUAACUUCUGCAACGAGGUUACUCCAGUAGUUACCUGUAUCAAACAUGUCUACAAGAUUUGCAGAUUCUAAUCCUUCCGGUUGUGAUGGUAUACUGGGGUUAGAAGCAGGAACAGUAGCAGCUAUUUGAUUUAACAGAGAUACAAUCAUUUUAUUAAAGCUAAUUUGAUUCUUGUUGGCAGUAGAGAAAUUAUCCAUUCUAUUAUUUAUAUUUUCUAACAUUUUAUGAUUAGAUGCCAAUUUCUUAGAUAGGUUAUCCAUUAGCUUUCCUUGAUUAGACACUAACUCUCUCAGAUUACCUUGAUAAUUACCGGAGUAGUUAGGCCUCUGUUGAUUCCAACCUUGAUUUUGCUGAGGACGGUUGUAGUAAUUGUUGUUGUUGUUGUUGAUGAUGUAAUUCGCGUCCUCAAGCAUCUCAGGGCAGUGAUUGCCUGAGUGUCUAGUAUCUCCACACUCCUCACAAGUUAUGUGAGAGUCGUAGACGUGCAUGACAUCUUUCUUAUCUCCAGCUCUAUCAUCGAGCUUCUUCAUGAGCAGGUCUAGCUUGGCAAACAGCAUGUCUACCUCCUUGAGCUGGUGCAUACCUCCACCUCUCUUGCGUGUCUGGGUCCUUUCUUCAUUCCAGCCUUGGUUGGACGCCAUCUUCUCCACAAGAGCUGUGGCUAGUGGUAUGGUGAGGGAUAGGAAUGCUCCUCCAGCUGCAGCAUCCAUGGUCUCACGGGAACUAUUGCCGAGCCCAUGAUAAAACGUCUACAUCAGUAGCCAGCUCUCCAUUCCAUGAUGGGGACAUUCUAGGAUAUAGUCUUGGAAGCGCUCCCAUGCUUCUAGAACGGAUUCAUCAUGUUGUUGUUGAAAACUUGUAAUUUUCCCACGGAGAGCAUUGGUCUUGCCCAUGGGAAAGAACUUAGCCAGAAAGUUCGUGGAGCAGAGUGCCCACGUAGUAUUCUUCUCCUUUGUAGUGUAGAACCACUGCUUUGCUCUCCCAAACAGCGAGAAUGCGAAGAGGCGAAGUAGUAUAGCAUCACUGGGGACUCCUGACAUGGUGAAUGUGCUGCAAAUCUUCAGGAAGUGUUGGGGAUGAGCACUAGCAUCUUCGUGAGCCUUUCCACAGAACUAGUUGGUUUGCACCAUGUUGAUGAGCCCAGGCUUGAGCUCAAAGUUGCCAUCGAUCUCUGCAGCAGGUCCAGUGUGGAUGUUGUCCAUAGUGGGAGCCGAGAACUCGCAGAUCGAUUUGUUCACCAUAACUUCAAACUCUGAAGACAAGUUCCGGGUGAAACUUUGGUGAUCUUCUUGAUUGGAUGAAGCUUCGUGCUGAUGUGUUGACAAUCUCCUAUUGAGCUUAGCUCUUAUUUUUUUGAAUAAUGCUUCGAGAUUGUCAACAAAAUUUCCUGGAACAUGUCUUCUAUUCAUACAUUGCCCUGGAUACAAAAAAUCAAAAUAGAAAAAUAGGGGUAAAACUGUAUGAGAGAAUUGAUAAUCUCGAUCAUAUUAGUGAUACGAAUAAUGUCUCGAAAUUCCGUAUUCAUUCCUUAUUAGUAAUCAACCUUCCCCGGCAACGGCGCCAAAAAUUCUUGUUGGGCAUUCUUAACAUCAUUACCAAAAGUAGACUUAGUUUUCUAAUUCUGAUAACGGCGCCAAAAAUGCCAAACCUAUCUAGCAUUAAUACCGAUGUAGCAUUUUAACCGGGAAGUAUUCUAGGUAUCGUUAUUUAUAUUUUUACCACUCGGAAGGGAUUGAUUAUCAUCAAUGUUCAUUAUGGAAUGGAAUAUAGAAUUGAGUAUCUAUCAUUGCAUGUGUAAUAGAGAGCAUUUAUCUAUCUCUUUCAUAUAGGGAUAAAUGUCACAUAAAAGAUAGAUAAAGUAUGAAUGGUGACAAAGAUAAUUAAUGUGAUCAGCAUAACUAGCCACAUAUAAUAAUGAUAAGCAUCUCAACAGAUAUUCUAGCAAUUCAUUAGCAUAGAAUUAGAAUGAAGUACAAGAAUAUUUCCUAAGUUAUUCUUAACUAUAAAGUCUAGCAUAUCAUAGUUAGUGCAAUUAUAUUUGGAAAUCAUUGCGAGACAGGACUACGCCCAUGCAUAGUGAUAUUAUCAAGAAAGAUGAGAAACAUAGCAAUCACUCCCCUGUAAUAAUGUUGCUCUACCUACCCUAUACACGAGAGGGGGACUAUAUAAUAAUCAAUGGAGCUGUCGCUACCAUGAACUACCCCGCGAUCCGGCAUAUAGGGUACAAUCGCAGAUAAAUACGGUAUAGGCACCACGCCUACACAAUACUUAUCAUUCACCCACUGUACACAUGGAUAAAUGCUAUACGAUCCUAAACAUGUAUAUAAUUCCAAUCUAAGCUAAGCAUAUAACUAUGAUAAACUAAGAACAAUAUAAUUGCAAAUAUAAACAAGUAGAGCAAAGUCAUAAUGAAUAUAUUGAAGUAGAACAAAGUUAUAUUCAUAAUAUUGAAGAACAAUGAUGAACAAAUGAAGAACAGUAGAGGAAUUACCAAGAAUCCUCUUGACAAAUCCGGAAACCAAUCGAAGAUUCACUCCUUCUAGUUCUAAUCCUAUGUAGCUAUGCUAAACUAGAGAUCUAGUUGAUGUGGUGGCUCUAGGGCUUGAUCAGAGACUUUUUCUCCCGAGAUGGAUGAAUGGAUUAGGCUUUCUCCGGUCCUCUCCUCCAGGGUUCAGGGGGUCUGCUUAUAUAGUCCUUCCAAAUGAAUAUGGGUCAUCGGAUCAAACCGACCUUAAUCGCACGAAUUUCAUUAAUCCCUUAAGUCGGUGGAGCAUGAUCCGCGAGGCGGAGCCUGAUUGGCUCUCAGGCCAGGGCGGGCGCCCUGCCCCUAGGUCCACUCGUUCCUAUGGCUUCUGGACUCUUCUAGAUGUUGGAUAUUUCCGCGGCACGUUAAUAUCUCUAUGUAAACCCGACGUGUGGGCCUUUCCUCCAUAUUUCCUGAUAACCCCCUACAGAAAUAGACAAACACCAAAACUCGUGGAAUUCUGUCAGAUAAAACCCUAAGUCUGUGUGUCGGGUGCAUUUGGAUCCUUUUCUCUAUUUAUUUUUUGAUUAUAUUUAUACUUAAGGACUGUCAACAGGGGCUAAUGUUGACCUCAGGCUGUGAUGUACCUUGCUCUUUCAUCGUUUGACUCAGUGCUUCUUGUACUUUCCUUUUAAUCUCUGCCUGCAUCCAUUCUUCACGAGAUUUCUUGCGCUCUUGUGACUGUAUAACAAAACCUUCUAGCUGGUGGAUCCGCUCUGCCUCCUCGUCCUUCUUUCUGUGGUGGCUUCUAUAGGUUUCUUGAUCAACUUCGAAUGAAUGCAGCCACGGAACUGCCCCAUAGCCUCUCGUAUGCCCACCAUGCUCAGGAUUUUCAAGCGCGUACGUGAGUUCAUCCUUCUCCCUAUUAGGCCUGAACUCACCAGACUAAACCGCCUCUCAUGCACAGACUAGUCUCUCUGCUACUCUAGAGAUUUCUUGGCCCCAAACUAGUGCUCCGGUGUCUAGGUCCACGCUUCCCCCAUGACCAUAGAACCAAUGCUUUGAGCGCUCCCUCCAAUUCUUUGCUAUUGUCUCAGGUGUGACCCCCUAGCAAGCAUCCCCUGUUCCAUUCGGUCCCACGUGGGAACGACACUCUUAUAACCAUCUGAUCCCAUAUGAUGGUGGUAUGUCUUUUUACUUGCAUUCUCUUGGUUCCUCAUGGCUCGUUCCUCGCCCUCUUCUCCUAUUUUGUAUUGCACGAAGUCAUCCCAGAAGGCCCUCAGCUUUACAUUUUGCUUGAGGUUAUUGUAUAAAGUCUUCUUCUAAUUCUAGAACAGUACCACCAUCUUCUUUAUAGUCCAGUCAUAAAUUCGCGCCUUCAACUCUUCAUCAUUGGUGUCGAAGGAGAAAACCACCAUGACGGCUUUCCAAACUAACUCCUUGUCAUGAUCAAAGACAAAACUAAUUUUAGGAGCACCUCGCUUCUCUCUCCAUUCACGAGCACUGGUCGGUAUUUGGUCUCUCACAAGGUAACCACAGUGAUCGACAUAUUUAGUUGCAUGUUCACCAAGUGGUCUGCCUGUAGCUAUCUCAAACUCGGAUAUUACAUAGCGGACCUCCAAUGGCUUCUUUGGCCCUUGUGGAGGUAUACUACUCCCCGUAGACGUCAAUCCAAAGGGCUACACGUAGAUAUAGAAACAAAAAUACUAAAAUAAUAACCAAGUAAGUCUAAAACCUAAUGUAAGAGAUGAUGCAUUAUAUAUGUUUACAUUUACAUAACUUGCUGGUAUUUCCUUCUUAUUGCACGAUGAGUUGUUGCUCAGGCGCAUUGCCCUCUUGAUGCUCAUAAGCAAAGUACUGACUACCAUCGUCGAUUAUAUUUCUCAUGGCAUCUUCCAUAUAUAUAUAAGACUAUAUAAGAUAAGAAAACAAUAAUACUAGAAUAAUACUAGGAUAAUAUACUAAAAAAAUAAUACUAAAAAAUAAUGCUAAAAUACUAGUACAAACAAUAAUAUAUACAAAACACUAGAAAAUAAAAUAUAUAUUAGAUACUUAUAUACUACUACUAGUACUAAUACAAACGAAAGUGCUCGGAGUGCUCCAAACUAAAAAAAUAAUACUAGAAUCUUUUAAGCCAAGUAAUAUACUAGAAUAAUACUAGGAUAAUAUAUAAAAAAUAAUACUAGAAUAAUAGUACAAGCAAUAAUAUAUACAAAAUAUUAGAAAAUAAAAUAUAUAUUAGAGACUUAUAUACUACUACUAGUACUACUACAAACGAAAGUGCUGGAGUGCUCCAAACUAAAAAAUAAUACUAGAAUCUUUUAACCCAAGUAAUAUACUAGAAUAAUACUAGGAUAAUAUAUAAAAAAUAAUACUAGAAUAAUAGUACAAGCAAUAAUAUAUACAAAAUAUUAGAAAAUAAAAUAUAUAUUAGAGACUUAUAUACUACUACUAGUACUACUACAAACGAAAGUGCUGGAGUGCUCCAAACUAAAAAAUAAUACUAGAAUCUUUUAAGCCAAGUAAUAUACUAGAAUAAUAAUAGGAUAAUAUACUAAAAAAUAAUAUAAAAAAUAAUACUAGAAUAAUAAGUACAAACAAUAAUAUAUACAAAACACUAGAAAAUAAAAUAUAUAUUAGAGACUUAUAUACUACUACUAGUACUACUACAACCGAAAUUACUCGCAAACUAAAAAAUAAUACUAUAAUCUUUUAAGCAAGUAAUAUACUAGAAUAAUACUAGGAUAAUAUACUAAAAAUAAUACUAGAAUAAUAGUACAAACAAUAAUAUAUACAAAAUAAUAGAAAAUAAAAUAUAUAUUAGAGACUUAUAUACUACUACUAGUACUACUACAUAUGAAAGUGCUCGAGUGCUCAAAACUAAAAAGUAAUAUUAGAAUAAUAUAUUAAAAACAAUACUAGAUUAAUAAUACAAACAAUAAUAUAUACAAAACACUAUAUAUAUAUAUAUAUAUACUUAAUAAUUAUGCUAGCAUGCAUUAUUUUUUAGUGUAUAUAUAUACUUAAUAUAUAUACAAAACACUAUAAUCAUGUAAUAUAUAUAUACGAGAAAACACUAGAAUCAUAUAUAUAUAUAUAUACUUAAUAAUUAGGGUAGCAUUCAUUAUUUUUUAGUGUAUAUAUACACUUCAUAUAUAUACAAAACACUAUAAUCAUAUAUAUAUAUAUAUAUAUACAAAACACUAAAAUCAUAUUCCAAAGUUUAUAUAUAUAUAUAUAUAUAUAUAUAUAUAUAUAAUUCAUAAUAACAUGCAUUUUUUAGUGUAACUGCUCGGCAUAUAAUUCAUAACAUCCAUUCAUUAUUUUUUAGUAUAUAUAUAUAUAUGUAUAAAAACUGUUGUGCCACAUGCAUAUUAGUGGAGAUGAACGAUCUAGUACGUAGGGGGUGGAGUUCGGUGGACAGCACUAUGGUGGAGGCCGCUGCGGCGGCGCUGGUGGCGGAGAUGGUCGCGACGGCGCUGGUGAAGGUCGCGGCGACGCUAGAGACGAACGGCGCAGGGCACGAAGACGAACGGCGGCGGUGCUGGUGGAGACGAGGCGGCGGCAAGGGCUCUGCUCGAAGAAGAUGAAGGAACUGUUCGGAUCAAGGACGCCUGUGUGCUUUUAUAGGGGCGGACCCUUUAGCGCCAGUCCGUAGUUGAAACCGGUGCUAAAGGGUCUUUAACACCGGCUGGUGGCACGCACUAGUGUUAAAAGGUGACCCUUUUAGCACCGGCGCGUGUCACCAUACGGUGCUAAAGAGACCCUUUAGCACCGGUUUUAGCUACGGGCCUGUGCUACAGAGUCCUUAGGCGGGCUCAGGCGGGGUCCUAAAAUUUCGAGGACCCUUUAGCACCGGUUCCAACAUGGACCAGUGCUAAAGGGCAUGUGAUCCUGUUUUUAGGUUUAGCUUUUUAAACUGUUUAUAUAUAUGCUAAACAUUAUUAAUUGUAUAGUAAAUUAAAUAUUUUGCAUAAUAUUUUUUAAAAAGUGUCAUGUAUUGUAUUUUUCCUUAAUGUACACAUAAAAAAUUUUAACCUUAAAUAUCUUAGUGUAUUUUUUAAAUUUUCAAUAAGUUUGUAACUAAUGUUUAAUAUUUUGUUAAUGCAAAAAUAUAUUAUUUUCCAAUAAAUUUUAAAAAACUAUAUCCAAUCAACAGAAAAUCUAUUUUCACAUCAUAUUGAUGUUGAAUUUUUUAUUUUUGUCAUUUAUAACUCAGAAUGCGAGUAUGGUACAAUUUUCAUCAAAUAAAAAAAAUCUAUUUAUCAUAUAAAAAUAUAGAUCUUGAUGAAUACACACUUUGACCGAACCCUAGAUGGUCCCAAAUGGAAAAGUCAUGAAUACAAAGUUUGUUACACUCAUCAAGUUCUACAUUUGGUCUAAUGGUCAACAUUUCACUUGGAAAAGUUUGAACCACUCAAUUUUGAAUUUUGAAAUGUAGACACACACCGGUUUUUCGAACCCUAAAUGUUCUCGACUGGAAAAUUCUUCAAUAUCAAUAUUGUUCAACUCAUCAAGAUCUACAUUUAAUAUAUAGAGCAUUUUUGCAUUUGACAAAGUGUUGGGAAGGUGUGGUUGAAAAUCCACAACUCACAUAUAGUUCCAUAUAGUUUGUGUGAGAUUCAAGAUUUGGUGGGUAUUGUUUACUUUUCUCAAAUGGAAAAAUUGUCUAUAUAAAAAGUUUGGAUCUUGAUGAUCUCUAACAACUUGGUAUUCAAAUGUGUUUUAUUUUAAGUAAUUUAGUUUGUCAUUUGACCAAAACCCUUCUUUGAUUUUAAACACAUGUGCCUUAGAUUGGCUCAAAUUUAUCCAAAUGGAAAAAAGACAAUAUAUCAAAUGUAGAUCUUGAUGAUCUCUAACAACUUUGUAUUCAAAAUUUUUUCAUUUCAAGUCAUCAAAUGAGUCAUUUAACCAUGUUUGACCAAAGUCAAAGCAUUGGUUUUUAGAAACACACACUUUGACCGAACCCUAGAUGGUCCCAAAUAGAAAAGUCAUGAAUACAAAGUUUGUUACACUCGUCAAGUUCUACAUUUUGUCUAAUGGUCAACUUUUCAUUUGGAAAAGUUUAGACCACUCAAUUUUGAAUUUUGAAAGAAUUCAUGGCCACGCACCGGUUUUCAGAACCCUAGAUGAUCUCGACUCGAGAAGUCAUCAAUACCAAUAUUGUUCCACUCAUCAAGAUCUACAUUUAGCAUAUAGACCAUUUUUGUAUUUGACAAAGUGUUGGGAAGGUGUAGUUGAAAAUCCACAAUUCUCACAUAUAGUUUCAUAUAGUUUGUGAGGGAUUCAAGAUUUGGUGGGUAUUGUUUAAUUUUCCCAAAUGGAAAAAUUAUCAAUAUAAAAAGUUUGGAUCUUGAUGAUGUCUAACAACUUGGUAUUCAAAUGUUUUUUAUUUUAAGUAAUUUAGUUUGUCAUUUGACCAAGUUUGACCAAAACCUGUCUUGGUUUUUAAACACAUGUGCCUAGGAUUGGCUAAAAUUUAUCCAAAAUGUAAAAUAGACAAUCUUUCAAAUGUAGAUCUUGAUGAUCUCUAACAACUUUGUAUUCAAAUUUUUUUCAUUUCAAGUCAUCAAAUGGGUCAUUUGACAAUGUUUGACCAAAGUCAAAGCAUUGGUUUUUGGAAACACACACUUUGACCGAACUCUAGAUGAUCCCAAAUGGAAAAGUCAUGAAUACAAAGUUUGUUACACACUUCAAGUUCUACAUUUGGUUUAAUGGUCAACUUUUCAUUUGGAAAAGUUUGGACCACACAAUUUUGAAUUUUGAAAGAAUUCAUAGACACGCACCGGUUUUCGGAACCCUAGAUAGUCUCGACUAGAAAAGUCAUGAAUACCAAUAUUGUUUCACUCAUCAAGAUAUACAUUUAAUAUAUAGACCAUUUUAAUAUUUGACAAAGUUUUGGGAAGGUGUAGUUGAAAAUCCAUAAUUCUCACAUAUAGUUUCUUAUAGUUGUGUGAGAUUCAAGAUUUGGUAGGUAUUGUUUACUUAAAAUUUCUCAAAUGGAAAAAUUGUCUAUAUAAAACGUUUGGAUCUUGAUGAUCUGUAACAACUUGGUAUUCAAAUGUUUUUCAUUUUAAGUAAUUUAGUUUGUCAUUUGACCAAGUUUGACCAAAACCCAUCUUGGAUUUUAAGCACAUGUGCCUAGGAUUGGCUCAAAUUUAUCCAAAUGGAAAAAUAGACAAUAUAUCAAAUGUAGAUCUUGAUGAUCUCUAACAACUUUGUAUUCAAAAUUGUUUCAUUUCAAGUCAUCAAAUGGAUUAUUUGACCAAGUUUGAACAAAGUCAAAGCAUUGGUUUUAAGAUACACACACUUUGACCGAACCCUAGAUGGUCCCCAAUGGAAAAGUCAUGAAUACAAAGUUUUGUUGCACUCAUCAAGUUCUACAUUUGAUCUAAUGGUCAACUUUUCACUUGGAAAACUUUGGACCACUCAAUUUUGAAUUUUGAAUGAAUUCAUAGCCACGCACCGGUUUUUGGAACCCUAUGUGGUCUCGAUUGGAAAAGUCAUGAAUACCAAUAUUGUUGCACUCAUCAAGAUCUACAUUUAAUAUAUAGACCAUUUUUGCAUUUGACAAAGUGUUGGGAAGGUGUAGUCGAAAAUCCACAAUUCUCACAUAUAGUUUCAUAUAGUUUGUGUGAGAUUCAAGAUUUGGUGUGCAUUGUUUACUUUUCUCAAAUGGAAAAAUUGUCUAUAUAAAAAUUUUAGAUCUUGAUGAUCUCUAACAACUUGGUAUUCAAUAUUUUUUUAUUUUAAGUAAUUUAGUUUAUCAUUUGUCCCAGUUUGACCAAAACCCGUCUUGGAUUUUAAACACAUGUGCCUAGGAUUGGCUCAAAUUUAUCCAAAUGAAAAAUAGACAAUAUAUCAAAUGUAGAUCUUGAUGAUCUCUAACAACUUUGUAUUCAAAAUUUGUUCAUUUCAAGUCAUCAAAUGGGUCAUUUGACCAUGUUUGACCAAAGUCAAAGCAUUGGUUUUUAGAAACACACACUUUGACCGAACCCUAGAUGGUCCCAAAUGGAAAAGUCAUGAAUACAAAGUUCUUUACACUCAUCAAGUUCUACAUAUGGUCUAAUGGUCAACUUUUCAUUUGAAAAAGUUUGGACCACUCAAAUUUGAAUUUUGAAAGAAUUCAUAGCCACGCACCGGUUUUCGGAACCCUAGAUGGUCUUGACUCGAAAAGUCAUGAAUACCAAUAUUGUUCCACUCAUCAAGAUCUACAUUUAAUAUAUAGACCAUUUUUGCAUUUUACAAAGUGUUGCGAAGGUGUAGUUGAAUAUCCACAAUUCUCACAUAUAGUUUCAUAUUGUUGUGUGAGAUUCUGGAUUUGUGGGUAUUGUUUACUUAAAAUUUCUCACAAUGGAAAAAUUGUCUAUAUAAAAAGUUUGGAUCUUGAUGACCUCUAACAACUUGGUAUUCAAAUGUUUUUCAUUUUAAGUAAUUUAGUUUCUCAUUUGACCAAGUUUGACCAAAACCCAUCUUGGAUUUUAAACACAUGUGCCUAGGAUUGGCUCAAAUUUAUCCAAAUGGAAAAAAUAGAAAAUAUGUCAAAUGUGGAUCUUGAUGAUCUCUAACAACUUUGUAUUCUAAAUUUUUUCAUUUCAAGUCAUCGAAUGGGUCAUUUGACCAAGUUUGACCAAAGUCAAAGCAUUGGUUUUAUCAAACACACAUUUUGACCGUACCCUAGAUUGUCCCAAAUGGAAAAGUCGUGAACACAAAGUUUUGUUACACUCAUCAAGUUCUACAUUUGGUCUAAUGGUCAACUUUUCACUUGAAAAAGUUUGGACCACUCAAUUUUGAAUUUUGAAAGAAUUCAUAGCCACGCACCGGUUUUCGGAACCCUAGAUGGUCUCGACUGGAAAUGUCAUAAAUACCAAAAUUGUUCCAAUCAUCAAGAUCUACAUUUAAUAUAUAGACCAUUUUUGCAUUUAACAAAGUGUUGGGAAGGUGUAGUUGAAAAUCCACAAUUCUCACAUACAGUUUCAUAUAGUUUGUGUGAGAUUUAAGAUUUGGUGGGUAUUGUUUACUUAAACUUUCUCAAAUAGAAAAAAUGCCUAUAUAAAAAGUUUGGAUCUUGAUGAUGUCUAACAACUUGGUAUUCAAAUGUUUUUUAUUUUAAGUAAUUUAGUUUGUCAUUUGACCAAGUUUGACAAAAACCCAUCUUGGAUUUUAAACACAUGAGCCUAGGAUUGGCUCAAAUUUAUCCAAUUGGAAAAUUAGACAAUAUAUCAAAUGUGGAUCUUGAUGAUCUCUAACAACUUUGUAUUCAAAUCAUAGCUUAAAUUUUAUUUAAUUUGGCUUAGUUUUAAUUUUAGGCAAUUAUUAAAUAAUUUACAAAAAUAAAUAAAAUAAAUUAUAAGGUAGAAACAUCACUACAAGCUUUUCGGUCUAAUGCAACAUCGAAGAAUUGCAACCUAGAAAAUUUGGUUGCUAGAGAUCGUUGUAUUAUAACCAUUCUAAAAAAUGGUAGCGAUACAUGCCUUUAAUACAACGAUUUUCAAGAUGUUGCAAAGCUCUGUUGCAUUUGGUGGACGAUAUUGCAAUGGUGAAAAAUGGUUGUAGUAGAAUUGAUUUUGGUUGCAAUUGUGUGGUAGUACUGCAACUACAUUUACGUUAGUUGCAUUUGGUUUUGACUAUUGCUACGGUUUCUUUAUGUUGCAUAAAAUUUGACAAGCGUUGCAAAUGCUAGAUGCUUAAUGCAACGAAAACUCUUGGAGGCGAAGCAAAAGUGGGGGUCAAUUGCAACCUUUUUUUUGCAGUUGCAAUAUACUUGAUAUUGUUGCAAGUGCUAAAUUUUAUUGCAACGAGAUCUCUGGGGUCGAAGCGAAAAUUGUGUUCAAGUGCAAUGCUUAUUGUUUGUUGCAAUAUACUUUGAUAAUUGCAACGAGAACUAGAAGGCGAGGCUGAUUUGGAUUAGGCCUUAUCACAGGCCAUACAUGCAGCGAGCCAGGCACCCGCCAGGUCAAGGCCUGCUGCGGCUGCAGGCUUCAGUGCUGGCCAAUCUGGGCCAUUUGGCCGGUCCGGGCAGGAGGAAAGAUGUGGUGGGCCGCUGUUACCAGUUUGCUAGGCCUACAUGUCCCAAUCUGCAGAAAAGGUCGAUGGGCGACGGCGUGCUCCAAAGGUGCUCGACGAAAAGCAAGGCAUGGCGCGUGCUGGUGCUGUGCGUGAGUGUGCGUUGGCCUGAGUAGGGCUAUGCUUCAUGAAAGUGCUGGUGCGUGUCCUUGGGCGCGGUGUCUGCGGCGAGGCCACGGUGGCCGCGAGUGGCGCGGCGACACCGUGCCGAUCAAGCCGAUGGUGUUGCGUCGAUGGCGCGUGGUAUGGCUGUGCAGAUGUCCGAAGCCGAGCUGCGCGUGUGCUUGCUGGCGUGCUUGGACGGCGGCGGCAAGGUCACGAUGGCCGCUGGCUGGUGCGUGUGCUUGCACAGCAUGUCCGCGAGGCGUGCAUGUGCAAGGCAAGAUCACGGUCAAGGCGGCUUGUGUCCGUGUGCUGCACUAUGGUGUCCAGGUGCCGGAUUGCGACGUGCUGUGUCCGUGUGGUGGCAAAGUUGGACCAACAGAGUGUGAGCUCAUGCUUGUGCUUGUGUCCACGUUGAUGGCUAAUGGGCUGUCUUUGGUGCUCCUAGCAGGCUGACGACAAGGGCGCUGUAGUGCUCAUGGCCACGGCAUAGUGCACGGCGGCAAGGCCACGGCGUAGUGCACGGCGGCAAGCACAUUCCACUACGAUUUCUUCAUGGAGCUGAAGUGCAUAAAAACACGCUCAAUUUCUGUAAACAGUUGGGCCAAUAUCAAAGGUCCAAACUGGCCUCUCAAGAAGGCCGAACACACCUCUUGGCAUAAGCUAGAGCACACAAAUACAAAGAGAAACAUGGCUGUUCCUCCUUUUGACAUCUGACCAAAACGAUGGCCGGAGACAGUGGUUGAUGGUGUUGACUACAAUGUUGACGAGGAGGAGGACAAGCCAUCGGCCGACGAUCUCAUGGUGUCAAGGGCGACCAAGAAUACUCCGGUGCAGGUGGCCGCCGACUUAUGCAAUCUGCUAAUGAAAAUAUGUUGUCAUAUGAACCUCUGUAUAGAGGGGCUUUCGAUUCUGCCAAGAAAAUCUUGAUUUUAGAUUGCAACUUAUAAGUGAAAAUACUUAAAACAUUUGUCUCGAGAGGUAUUCAUUAGCAUAACGAACAUUAAGGUUCCAUGCAACGGUUCAAACUUAACCAUGUCAUCAGUUCAAAAGAAAAAAAUAAUAAAGUGCGACAUAUACGUAUGAAGGAUAAGUGACCCUUCCCAUCAAACAGUGCAACAAAAAAAUUGUCUUCAAACAAAGAAAUCAUCUUCUCCAUAUUCUUCCAUGACUGGUGCAAUAACCUCAACAUCAAUGUAGGUGUCAUCGUCGUCAGAAUCAUCGUCACCAAUAUAGUCAUCAACGGGUUCGGGAAUUGCUUCGCUACGCACUUGAUUAAUAAUGGCGGUAGAACCAGUUUAAGAAUUCCUGACCUUGGCCUGAUUCAUUCAUUUCUUGGAUUCUCACAUCAAGUGCAUCGGCGUCAUUUCCUAUGUCUGGCAUGGAAAACAAAUUUCUUGGUCUCACCAAAACAAAAGUAGACCAUCCUGGCUUGUUCACGAUAGGGACAUAAAACACCAGUUCAGCAUUUGAAGCAAGAAUGUAAGGUUCAUCCGAAUAUCUGAACAUGUAAGUAGCAAUGUCGAUAAUACUAAAUUUAUCCCUAUUGUACCCUCUGAUUCUGCUGGUACUGGUAGCCGGCACAUCAUACCAAUCACAAUGAAACAAUAUAACUUCUUUUUCUUGUGGGAAUUCCAGGGAGAUUAUAUUUCUAGUGACUCCAUACCAGGUCAUGUUGCCUGUACUUUCAUCACCCUUCACAAGGACACUAGAAUUUUGUGUCACGAGGCUUUUCUCUAUGGCAGCUGUCUGAAAUAGCCAAUUAUUGAUGUGCACUCUAUUCAACACACGAGCUCGAGGGUCAGGUCCUUGAGAAAGGGCAUGCAUCAGUUUAGUUGCUUCCCCUUUCUCUUAUAGUUUUGCUAUCUGCAAUUUAAAAAUCAAGUUAUGCAUCUACCAGUUAAUUACUACGUCGGUCUGACCAUAAAGUGUAAUUUAAAAAUAUAAAAUAAUACUACAUACCUCGAUUUCAAACCAUCUUACAAAAUGCUCCUUGUGUCGUUUUUUAAUGUUAAUUGAACUAUCCCUUGUUAGUUGUGUCUUAUGCUCCCUACAUCAGAGUGCACCAAAUUAUUAGUUGACGCCACAAACAAGCAGAUAAUAGAUAAAUUUAGUGGUAAAAAAUGCGACUUACGCUACCCAUUUCCUGGCUUCAUCACAAUUAGUAAUUAUGUAGUGCCUCAUCUUUUGAAGUUCAACUUUCUCCAAAUUAUUAAGCUUAUUUCCUCUCCUCUUGUUAUCAAUUUCACUAAAUAUGCUUAGACCACUUGGAGGCUCAUUCACAACUGUAUUUUCAUGAUGAUCAGCUCGACUCAGCUUGGUGUCGAUGUCGAAGAAUCGAGAGCAAAAUGUAAGACACUCCUCAGCUAUGUAGCAUUUAGCUAUUGAUCCUUCUGGCUGUGCCUUGUUCCUGACAUAUACUUUAACAGUACGUAGAUACCUCUCUACUGGAUACAUCCAUCUGUAACACACUGGCCCUCCUAGUUUAGCCUCUUCAACUAGAUGGACCGGCAAAUGAAUCAUUAUGUCAAAAAAUGCAGGUGGGAAAACCAUCUCAAGCUGAUAAAGAGUUUCUUUAAUUGAACUGUCUAGUUUGUCAAGAUCUGCUGGCACCAACUCAUUUGAACAAAGUGCACUAAAGAACCUACUGAGCUCAAUCAACGGCUUGGCAACAUCUUCUGGCAAAAUCCUUCUAAUGACUAAGGGCAAUAGUUUUUGUAGAAUAAUAUGGUAGUCAUGAGUUUUGAGUCCAGACACCUUAGAUUGGAGCAGAACCCAUCACGGAUCUUCACUCCUUGAAGAAAUUGGCAUAAAAUCCUCUUGUCAUCCUUGUCUAGAGAGUACAACGCUGCUGGCAAUGUGUACGUGUCAUCAUCAAUCACAGGAUGCUGAUCUUGCCUGAUCCCAAGAUGUUCCAUGUCAAGGCGGGCAUUCUCGUCGUCCUUACAUUUCCCUUCAAUUUCAAGCAAAGUCCCUAAUAUGCUCUCGCAUAUGUUUUUCUCAAUAUGCAUCACGUCCAAAUUAUGCCUUAUGACCAAAGAAGACUGUUGGGCAUUCUUAACGUCACUACCAAAAGGAGACUUAAUUUUCUAAUUCUGAUAACGGCGCCAAAAAUGCCAAACCUAUCCCUCAUGUCACUUAAGCCAAGUUGUCAUCCCUAGCAUGACAUGAGAGACGCGGUAUUGAAAUAUGUAGUUGCUCUUCUAAAUAAAUAAUAAAUAAGAUUUUCAAGCGCACAGAUUAAUACCGAUGUAGCAUUUUAACCGGGAAGUAUUACAGGUAUCGUUAUUUAUAUUUUUACCACUGGGAAGGGAUUGCUAAACAUUAAUGUUGAUUAUGGAAUGAAAUAUAGAAUUGAGUAUCUAUCAUUGCAUGUAUAAUUGAGAGCAUUUAUGUGCUUUCGAGCAAUUAUCUGGGCAUAAGAUCAACUUCCACAAGAGUGAAAUUUUCUGCUAUGGUGCAACUAGAGAGAUGGAGCUUUUUUAUACUAGUCUUUUUGGGUGUAAGGCUGGGGAAUAUCCCUGUAGAUAUUUGGGAAUCCCAAUGCACCAUAGACAGCUUCUGAACUCUGAUUGGAGAGUAAUAGAAGAACGUUUCCAAAAGAAACUCUCUUGCUGGAAAGCGAAAUACCUGUCUUAUGGCGGAAGACUGGUCUUGCUAAAUUCAGUCUGAAGUAGCCUGCCCAUGUUUAUGAUAUCUUUCUUCGAGAUUCCUAAGGGAGUUCUCAAGAACCUUGACUUUUUUAGAUCAAGGUUCUUCUGGUAAGGAUCUGCUGAUAAGCAUAAAUAUAGACUUGCCAGAUGGGACAUAUUAUGUCGUCCUAAGGACCAGGGGGGUCUAGGUAUUUUGGACUUACAAUUAAAAAAUAAAUGCUUAUUGUCCAAAUGGUUGGUAAGUCUACUCAACACAGAGGGCUUAUGGCAGUCCCUUUUGUCUAAUAAAUACCUAGGAUCCAAAACCCUUACCCAAGUCAAUGCCAAACCCAAUGAUUCACAUUUUUGGAGAGGCCUCAUGCGUAUUAAAGAUGAGGUGCUGGCUAAAGGUUCCUUUGAUGUUAGAGACGGAACUAAGACAAGGUUCUAGGAUGACACAUGGGUGGGAGAUAAGCCUCUAAAAGUAAAAUACCCUUCCCUUUAUAAUAUAGUACGUGAUCGCCACGCUACUGUUUCCAAAGUGUUAACCACUACCCCCCUCAACAUCCAUUUUCGGAGGGCUCUAGUGGGCAACAACCUAUUAGAUUGGCUUAAUUUAGUAGCACAAAUUUCUAAUGUGGUUUUGGAGGUGGGGUCGGACUAUUUUAGGUGGAGCUUAACCAAAUCUGGGUUAUUCUCUGUCCGCUCUCUGUAUCUCCAUCUCAUUGAUACUCGACCACCUUUUUUCCACAAUAAACUCUGAAAAAUAAAAAUUCCUCUAAAGGUCAAAAUGUUUCUUUGGUUCCUACAAAGAGGUGUCGUUCUUACCAAAGACAACCUCGCUAGGAAGAAUUGGAAAGGGAGCCAGAAAUGUGUCUGUUGUAAUAUGAAUGAGACUAUCCAACACUUAUUCAUUGAUUGCCCUUUCACCAAGACGAUUUGGAGGAUUAUUUUCUUUGCUACUAGUUUAAACCCACCUAGGUCUAUCAACCACAUGUUUGGUACCUGGCUUUGUAAUCAAAGUAUGAAGCUUAGAGAGGUGAUUUGGGUUGGGGUAGCUACCAUGUGCUGGGCCAUCUGGUCUUGCCGGAAUGAUGUUAUUUUUNNNNNNNNNNNNNNNNNNNNNNNNNNNNNNNNNNNNNNNNNNNNNNNNNNNNNNNNNNNNNNNNNNNNNNNNNNNNNNNNNNNNNNNNNNNNNNNNNNNNGGAUGUAGAGGCAGAUGUUUUAUCUAUUAUCUAAAAAAAAUCUAUCUCUUUCAUACAGGGAUAAAUGUCACAUAAAAGAUAUAGAUAAAGUAUGAAUGGUGACAAAGAUAAUUAAUCUGAUAAGCAUAACUUAGCCACAUAUAAUAAUGAUAAGCACCUCAAUAGAUAUUCUAGCAAGUCAUUAGUAUGGAAUUAGGUCGAACUACAAGAAUAUUUCCUAAGUUAUUCUUAACUAUAAAGUCUAGCAUAUCAUAGUUAGUGCAAUUAUACUUGGCAAUCAUUGCGAGACAAAACUACGCCCAUGCAUAGUGAUAUUAUCAAGAAAGAUGAGAAACAUAGCAAUCACUCCCCUGUAAUAAUAUUGCUCUGCCAGCCCUAUACACGAGACGGGGACUAUAUAAGAAUCAAUGGAGCUGUCACUACCACGAACUACCCCGCGAUCAGGCAUAUAGGGUACAAUCAUAGAUAAAUACGGUAUAGGCACCACGCCUACACAAUACUUAUCAUUUACCCACUGUACACAUGGAUAAACGCUAUACGAUCCUAAACAUGUAUAUAACUCCAAUCUAACUAAGCCAAGCAUAUAACUAUGAUAAACUAAGAACAAUAUAAUUGCAAAUAUAAAUAAGUAGAGCAAAGUCAUAAUCAAUAUAUUCAAGUAGAACAAAGUCAUAUUCAUAAUAUUGAAGAACAAUGAUGAACAAUUGAAGAACAAUAGAGAAAUUACCAAGAAUCCUCUUGACAGAUCCAGAAACCAAUCGAAGAUUGACUCCUUCUAGUUCUAAUCCUAUGUAGCUAUGCUAAACUAGAGAUCUAUUGAUGUGGUGGCUCUAGGGCUUGAUCAGAGGCUUCUUCUCCUGAGAUUGAUAAUGAAUUAGGGUUUCAGAGAGAUAGAGGUCCUCCUCUCUAGGGGCCAGGGGGUCUGCUUAUAUAGUCCUUCCAAAUGAAUGUGGGCCAUCCGAUCAAACCGGCAUUAAUCGCACGGUUUUCCUUGAUCCUUUAGGUCGGUGGAGCAUGAUCCGCGAGGUUGGUUCUGAUUGGCCCUCAGACCAGGGCGGGCGCCCAAGGGGGGAGGGCGGGCGCCUUGCCCCCGGGCCCGUUCGGCCUCCCGUUCAUUCCCGUGGCUUCUGGACUCUUCUAGAUGAUGGAUAAUUGCGUGGUACGUUAAUAUCUCUAUGUAAACCCGACGUGUGGGCCUUUCUUCCAUAAUUCUUGAUAACAUCCUGCAGAAAUAGACAAACACCAGAACUCAUGGAAUUCUGUCAGAUAAAAACCUAAGUCUCUAAGUCUGGAUGUUGGUUGCAUUUGGAUCCUUUUCUUUGUUUAUUUGCUGAUUAUAUUUGAUACUUAAGGACCAUCAACAAACUCCCCCAAGCUUACCUCUUGCUCGUCCCUGAGCAAGGAUAGACUCAGUGAUGGAUCAGAAGUUGCUGUAAUGCCUUUAAAAGUUGACGGUACACAUGCUUUCAAAUGAGGUAUCAUCUCUGAGUUAGAGUAAACUAUCAAGACUUAAAACUUAUUCAUUUUACCUUUCACCAUGGGACUUGCAACCGUCACUUCUGUCUUGAGCAGUUAAAAGAUAGAACGGUCUAGUCAAGUGCCAUGUCUCUUAUUCUUGAUCAGCUAUAGCUCUGGAGGUUUUGCAGAUUUUCAAAUAAAACUCAGAGAUUCCUUGUAUGACUCUUUCAGAUCUCUCUUUUGUGGUAUUUCUGGAUCCUUACCAAGGCAGUGAUGGUAUAUGCCUUCUCUCAAAGUAUAUGGUAUUUGUGGUAUAAGGCAUAGUGACAUUGCCUUCUCUCUCACCCUACUCUAAUAAGGCUUUGAUAUCUGGAGCUCGUAGGUGGGAGAUAAAGUAUACAUACUUACAAAACAUUUAUUGCAUAGUCAAACCAUGGAUCCAGAGAAACAAGUCAAUAAGUCAAAUCAAGAUGUGCAUGUGUGGCGAAUGAAUGGUGUAUGGUGAUGAUGGUGAUAACAAUGGUGAAAGUCUAAUUCUACUUGUUGCUCUUUUGAGGGGAUACAUACCUUUUUGGCUCUUUUGAAACUUUUUGAGGAGAAUGAGAUGCUCUAUAAUUUCUUUUUCUUUCCUCUCAGGUGGGUAUCUUCUACCCCUAAUUCUACUAUCGGACACUUGUCCAUUUUUACCUCUCCUCUAACUUUUUAUUUUCUUUCGAGGUUCUGGGCACUUGCCCCUUUUUAUUUCCUCGUAUCCUCUUCUUUUUGUUUAGAGCACCCAUCUCCUGAAAUAAUAUAGCAAGUGGUAGUGAACAAAAUAACUCGAGCAUUUAUUUCACAGGGAAAAACAGGAAUGGGAUAAUGUUUUUGGCUAUUCUCUCCCGGAUUCGGAGUAGAAUACUUUUGGGUGGUUCUGGAGAUGGAAAUGAGUGGAUAUAUAUGCAUGCGUACUUCCAGAGUAGAAGCAGCAUGUGUGAGUGAACGUGCAAGUGAAUCUUGAUUUAACCACAUGACAAGCUCCUAAGGGUCUACACAGCUUGACCACAUUCAAUGUUCAUAAGCAGUAAAAAGUAAAUGUGUGGCUCAAAGUCUAGCAAGCAUGUAUAUAUGGCUGUGGUAGGAAUUUAAACUCUCAUCAUAUAGGAACUCAUCAUGUGAUAUUUCAAAGAUUUUUAAAGAUAAAAUUCUCCAGAAUUCUAACAUCUCUAGGAACAGAUAAACUGCAGCUCAACCUUCUCAUAUCAUAUCCAUUAACAACUUAGACUUCAGAUCAAGUUCUCUUCCCGCAAGUUCAGGUUUAGAGCAAGCUUUAAAUUAUAACAGUUAUGUCUAAACUAGAGAGAGAACUUCAAAUUUGAAAAUUAGGCAGAGCAACUAUUCAUCAUAUCCAUGCUAGAGUUUUAUUAAGAUUUAGUUUAGCACAGCCACUUUAUUUAUUUAUUAAGCACACUAAGCAAAAGAUAUAUAUAUAUAUAUAAGCACAAAAUAUUUAUUUGGUUUUUCAUGGUUAUGUAUAUUUAUAUUUUAAUAUAGUAUAAGUAUAAAUGUAGAUAGAAAUACUUAGCAGGAUAAAUGGGGGUGCUCUCCCUCAAGCUGAAUUUUGAUGUAAUUUCUUCUGAUGUAGCUAGCAGGUAGCAGAGGUGUAUUUGAAAGUCGGCAGCACCCUGACAGCGAUUAGGAUGUCCUCCGUCUGCUAGUCUUCUUGAUCCUUGAAUUCUGUGGAGCUCAAAUAGACAACAAAGCUUUGUGGAACUUGAUUAGGUGUUAGCGCAAAUAUCUAGCCUUUAUCAUGUUGAGCCUCCUCAAUAAGUGUACUCUAUAUUUUUUUAUAUUUUUAUUCUAUAGAGCAGAAAAAAUAUCUUUAUUUUAUUUUUAUGCCACCACAGUGAAUGUACUUAUGGGUUUUAUGCCACUCGUAUACUCACAUGGAGCUUACUGUUUUUUAACAUUUUUAUUUUCUUUUUAAGAUAGUAUGAUCAUGAUUAACUAAGCGAACUAUUUUAAGUAAUUGAAAGGAAAAGGGUAACUACCAAGUUUAGCUCUUGGCAAUGCGUUCGGUGUUUUUAAGGCCUCCAAACGGGACUUUCUAUUUUCUCAGUCGUCCUAGGAUUCGUUGGAUGGCGUAGUCGGUGGUUCCGACGGCGCCUCCUCUUCGAGUAUAACUAUCUUCUCUCUCCACACCUGGCUCGGUGCUACGGUCUCCUCAGGAUAAUUCUGUUCAAGCUAUUUGUCUUCAGACCAUGCCACUUCUUCAUAGUCUGCCCAUCCGUCCUUGAUGAUUUGCCUCCUCUGGUUGUGGUUGCGUCGUCUUCUUCUUGUCCUGACCUGCUUAGAGUCUUCAACGAUAUAGUUAGGGUCAGUAAAAUAGCGGCGUACCUUCUCCGAGGGGAAGUGCAUAUGGAAUUCUCUGGUUCCAAUGUAAAUGAUUGCUUUAACGGUGCUGAGGAAUGGUCUCCUAAGGAUGAUGGGUGGAUCAUACUCGUCUUCUCCCAUGUCAAUAACCUGAAAGUCUGUAUGGACAAAAUGAUCAUCUAUUUUAAUAGGGACAUCAGUUACUAUACCUUCAACCUUUCGGAAUGUCUGAUCUGCCAUCUAGAGCUGAAUGUAUGUUGGUUUUAGGGUCAUAUUUCCGAAUAGGAGCUGAUAGGUGACUGCGGCCAUUAUGUUGACGCCCGAUCCGGUGUCGCAAAGUGUGUUGUAGAAGUUGUACCCAUUAAUGGAGCAAUGAAUGCUUGGCAUACCUGGGUUGUCCUUGAGUCGACGAUCUUGACCUCCAUGAACUGCAGUGACCAUCUUAGCUGACUCGGUCCACACUUGCUUGUUCGUGUUCCUCCUGUUGAUCCUCUUCCUUGGUUCUUGUCGGGAUUGCUCAAUUUGUGUAGUCUUGUUCUCAAAGAAAAAUGUCUCCUUCCUCCCCUUGAUGUAGAAACUGGUCUUGGCAGAAUUAGCGUAGACUACAGCUCAAGAGGUGUUCAGGAAUGGCCUCCCUAAGAUGAUGGGUGCCCUCUGAUCAUUACCAGUCUCUAUCACCAUGAAGUAUGCUGAGGCAUACAAGGUACCAACUCAGACGU